CCGUGGGAUGGGGAUGGAGCUCCCCGACAACUGCCGUUCAUCGGCUGAUAGCUCCUGCCAGACC
This 64-nucleotide non-coding RNA is filed under the name Shinella sp. RNAcentral describes it as "Fluoride sequence". It matches the Rfam family "Fluoride riboswitch aptamer (crcB RNA motif)". Lineage: Bacteria; Pseudomonadati; Pseudomonadota; Alphaproteobacteria; Hyphomicrobiales; Rhizobiaceae. The record is from RNAcentral.